UUCGUUUUUGCGGAUAUAACCUGAGCUAGAAUUGCAUGUUAUAUAGGGGGUAUACCCCAAAAACGACCCAAAAAGUCGACCUAGUGAAAUGGUGCGUUAGGGCCUCAGGACACCUUGUCUGGCCUGUAGCACCCGUAUUUCACGGUAUUUCGUGCAUAUUGGCUUGUUAGAGCCCAUAUUUUGGAGCAUAGGACUGUGUUGGGGUCGACGGUCAGGAAGGCCUAAAAACCUAUACUGAUGCGGUCGGCUCAUACCUAUGCCUCGCUUAUAUGGCUCGGCCUCUCGGGAGCUGGUUGUUCGAUCGUAAUGGCCAUGCAAUGGUCUGGUUGGGCUUCUGGUUUACCGUUUCAUUGGGUGUCGGGUGGCAUUCGUCAUUCUGCACUCGAGUCGUAUGCCUGUAAUUGCUUGAGGGCUGGUUUCGGCUGGUCAUCGGGUGGUUAUAUGGUGGUAUGGCUUUCCAUAUGCUAAGCCGACUGGCUUGUUCUGAUAGCUGGGCGGGUCAUUCGUGGCUCGUCUAUGCUGUGCUUAUACGAUAACCGUUAUAUAUAUAUGGCGCGAGUCCGUACUCCACUGCGUCAAUAUUGCUGCUCCAUGCGGGAAGGUGUAGACCGCGUGGUUGCGCAAAUCAUAUCAAGAGGUGUCAGACUAUAUUAGUUCGCAUGGUAUGGGUACUGCCGUGUGGACAAAGGUUGCCAAAUGUUUCGCUUCCACAAUUAGUGGUUGCGCGCGCUCUCAAUCCCUCGGGGUUGGGUUGCUUGAGAGAGUGAAUA
RNAcentral lists this unclassified non-coding RNA (770 nucleotides) under Hysteromorpha triloba. RNAcentral's name for it is "partial external transcribed spacer". The record is from RNAcentral. Lineage: Eukaryota; Metazoa; Platyhelminthes; Trematoda; Diplostomida; Diplostomidae.